Molecule: non-coding RNA, 89 nt
Filed under: Pseudomonas mandelii
Lineage: Bacteria; Pseudomonadati; Pseudomonadota; Gammaproteobacteria; Pseudomonadales; Pseudomonadaceae
Also listed under: 2 other names
Source: RNAcentral
UGUAGGAGUGAGCCUGCUCGCGAUGGCGGUCUGACAGUCAAUAUUGAUGUGACUGUCAGACCGCCAUCGCGAGCAGGCUCACUCCUACA